UCCAUAUGGCGCCCGCCAGGUGCCCGCAAGCGGGAGAAUCGGGAAGUCGGUGCAAUUCCGGCACGUGCCCAACGCUGUGACGGGGACGGCUACGCCAGUUACGCUCUGAAGAAAUUCGGAGCCUUGCCACUGAAUCCUCAGGCGGUUCGGGAAGGCGGCGCGGCCGGACGAUCCGGAGUCAGAAGACCGGCCUGGCAAGAUGGACCGGC
RNAcentral lists this non-coding RNA (209 nucleotides) under Ensifer sp. The record is from RNAcentral. Lineage: Bacteria; Pseudomonadati; Pseudomonadota; Alphaproteobacteria; Hyphomicrobiales; Rhizobiaceae.